GGGGACGUAGCUCAGCUGGGAGAGCGCCUGCUUUGCAAGCAGGGGGUCGUCGGUUCGAGUCCGAUCGUCUCCA
Molecule: transfer RNA, 73 nt
Filed under: Alphaproteobacteria bacterium
Lineage: Bacteria; Pseudomonadati; Pseudomonadota; Alphaproteobacteria
Also listed under: 1 other name
Description: tRNA-Ala
Rfam family: tRNA
About the family: Transfer RNA (tRNA) molecules are approximately 80 nucleotides in length. Their secondary structure includes four short double-helical elements and three loops (D, anti-codon, and T loops).
Source: RNAcentral